Molecule: ribosomal RNA, 425 nt
Filed under: uncultured bacterium
Lineage: Bacteria
Description: partial 16S ribosomal RNA
Rfam family: Bacterial small subunit ribosomal RNA
Source: RNAcentral
GUUAGGAAUAUUGGACAAUGGGCGAAAGCCUGAUCCAGCCAUGCCGCGUGAACGAUGAAGGCCUUCGGGUUGUAAAGUUCUUUAGCCGAUGAUUAUAAUGACUGUAGUCGGAAAAUAAGCCCCGGCUAACUUCGUGCCAGCAGCCGCGGUAAUACGAAGGGGGCGAGCGUUAUUCGGAAUCACUGGGCGUAAAGCGUGCGUAGGCGGUUUUGUAAGUUAGGAGUGAAAGCCCAGGGCUCAACCUUGGAAUUGCUCUUAAAACUGCAAGGCUAGAAUCUCGGAGAGGAUAGCGGAAUUUCCAGUGUAGCAGUGAAAUGCGUAGAUAUUGGAAGGAACACCAGUGGCGUAAGCGGCUAUCUGGACGAGUAUUGACGCUGAGGCACGAAAGCGUGGGGAUCAAACAGGAUUAGAUACCCCAGUAGUCC